UUCUGUUUAAGUCAACCAAAAAUCUUGUUAACUUAAGCAGAAUUCGGGUUACUUCAAUCGGAAUAUCUGGAUCGUUCAUAUUCGACCAGAUAUUUGGUUAAUUCGACCAAACUUUUUUUUCCAUGCACAAUGUAAAAACAGGCGUGUUAUCAGGUGUGUUAAAACAACACACAAUUCACUAAUUUGAUGUGUUUAUGCGUUUAAACAACACAGCUGCGGUUGUAAAUAUAUUGAAACGACACACAAAGUAUACUGAUCUAUACACGAAUUCUGUGUUAUAGUGGAUAACACAGUGGACAACACACUUCAUGUAUGUUAAGACCAUAAUUCAGUAAAUUGAAUGCAUAUAAUGUAUGUAAAUGUAAUGCAUGAAUCGCAGAAUAACAAUAAUUUGGAAAAAACAACAUAUUACUAGAGUUACACACUUACAGGAAUUACACAUAAAACCUCAUAUUAUUCAAAAAGAAUGAACAAGAAAAUAUGUGGAUAAUAUUAAUGAUGUGAUGAAUGCAGUUAUCACUGACAAAUAUUUUUGCAUUAGGCUGCAGAAAACAUUGGCUAUUAUACAGUAUCUAACCAGUUUAUGUAAUGUCUACGAAGUUAUAUGGGAAAAAAGUGACGUGAGCAUGAAACGUCAAAUAGCUCAGUGGCUCACUGCAGCACCCGGCAAGCGAAAGAUCCAGGUUCGAGUCCUGGCAUAGCUAGCAACAAACCGCGCUUUGGGUAUUUUUCUCUCUCCGGAAUGAAAAGAAGACUGCAGAUAGCGGACCAGUUAUAUAUCCAACAUUGGUGCGACGUUGGCAUCAAUGUUGAUGUCAGUGCUGGUGUUAGUGUUUAACCAGUACGGCAAGGUGUUACACUCCUAUAUUGAAUCUAUACUGGCACAACACUGGCGGCCAGUACGGGUACAACGGCAAUCGGUACUGUCCCAAUGUUGGACCGCUUUAACAUUUCUACGUGGGAUAUUUUCUUAACAUGAGAUUAACAUUCUUAAAGAGAUUAACAUGUCUUUGUUUCUUUAAUUUUAAAUUACAAAGUCUAAACUUGCACAAUUCUUCAAUUUUUCACGAAAAAUUAAUAAUUUUA
Odontomachus brunneus is the source of this 1086-nucleotide long non-coding RNA. RefSeq lists it as uncharacterized. The record is from RefSeq and is a predicted model, not a curated record. NCBI's taxonomy places the organism in Eukaryota, Metazoa, Arthropoda, Insecta, Hymenoptera, Formicidae. The transcript is spliced from 3 exons.